Cricetulus griseus (Chinese hamster) is the source of this 77-nucleotide small nuclear RNA. The record is from Ensembl. Lineage: Eukaryota; Metazoa; Chordata; Mammalia; Rodentia; Cricetidae.
UAACAUUGGAAUGGUGCAAAGAUUAGCAAGGCUCCUGAACAAGGAUGACACAAAUUUGUGAAGCCUUCCAUAUUUUA